GUGAAUCAUCAAAUUUUUGAACGCAAAUUGCGCUUCCUGGUAUCCCGGGAAGUAUGCCUGUUUGAGGGUCAGUAUUAACAAAAAAUCGGUUUGGUUGCAAAUUGUGACGUUUCCGGAGUUUGGGCUUAUCUUAACUUUUUUGGUUAAGGGGCUUAAAAUUGACCUUUUUUCGCAUUUUUUAAACGUACAUAAUUUUUUUUUUUUUCUUUUAUUCUUAUUCCAAAAUUCUAAUUAAUUCCAUUC
Molecule: unclassified non-coding RNA, 243 nt
Filed under: Glomeraceae sp.
Lineage: Eukaryota; Fungi; Glomeromycota; Glomeromycetes; Glomerales; Glomeraceae
Description: partial contains 5.8S ribosomal RNA and internal transcribed spacer 2
Rfam family: 5.8S ribosomal RNA (bases 1-71)
Source: RNAcentral